AGAGUUUGAUCCUGGCUCAGGACGAGCGCUGGCGGUGUGCUUCACACAUGCAAGUCGAGCGAAUGAAGAAGGUAGCUUGCUACUUUUGGAUUUAGCGGCGGACGGGUGAGUAAUAUAUAGGAGUCUGCCCUAGAGCGGGGAACAACAGACCGAAAGGUUUGCUAAUGCCCCAUAGGUACGCAGUCUUCGGAUUGUUUAUUAAAGGAGUAAUCCACUCUAGGAUGAGCCUGUAUCCGAUUAGCUAGUUGGCGGGGUAAAGGCCCACCAAGGCUACGAUCGGUAGUUGGUCUGAGAGGAUGAUCAGCCACAAUGGGACUGAGACACGGCCCAUACUCCUACGGGAGGCAGCAGUGGGGAAUUUUACACAAUGGGGGAAACCCUGAUGUAGCGACACCGCGUGAACGAAGAAGCCUUUUGGGGUGUAAAGUUCUGUCGGCUGGAACGAAAAAAAUGACGGUACCAGCAAAGGAAGCAUCGGCUAACUACGUGCCAGCAGCCGCGGUAAGACGUAGGAUGCAAGCGUUGUCCGGAUUUAUUGGGCGUAAAGAGUUCGUAGGCGGUUAUUUAAGUCUGGUGUUAAAUACUGUGGCCCAACCACAGAACUGCAUUGGAUACUGGAUGACUUGAGUGCGGUAGAGGCGAGUGGAAUUCCCAGUGUAGCGGUGAAAUGCGUA
This 674-nucleotide ribosomal RNA is filed under the name uncultured bacterium. RNAcentral's name for it is "bacterial SSU rRNA". It matches the Rfam family "Bacterial small subunit ribosomal RNA", at positions 8 to 692 of the family's 1533-position model. The record is from RNAcentral.